Molecule: ribosomal RNA, 370 nt
Filed under: uncultured bacterium
Lineage: Bacteria
Description: bacterial SSU rRNA
Rfam family: Bacterial small subunit ribosomal RNA
Source: RNAcentral
ACGUAGGUGGCAAGCGUUAUCCGGAUUUACUGGGCGUAAAGGGUGCGUAGGCGGUCUUUCAAGUCAGAAGUGAAAGGCUACGGCUCAACCGUAGUAAGCUUUUGAAACUGUAAGACUUGAGUGCAGGAGAGGAGAGUGGAAUUCCUAGUGUAGCGGUGAAAUGCGUAGAUAUUAGGAGGAACACCAGUUGCGAAGGCGGCUCUCUGGACUGUAACUGACGCUGAGGCACGAAAGCGUGGGGAGCAAACAGGAUUAGAUACCCUGGUAGUCCACGCCGUAAACGAUGAGUACUAGCUGUCGGAGGUUACCCCCUUCGGUGCCGCAGCUAACGCAUUAAGUACUCCGCCUGGGAAGUACGCUCGCAAGAGUG